UUCUUUAGGCGUCGACCGGCGAAUGGGUGAGUAACGCGUAUCCAACCUGCCCCUGAGUAAGGGAUAGCCCAUCGAAAGAUGGAUUAAUACCUUAUGGUCUCCUUUGCAGACAUCUAAUUAGGAGUAAAGAUUUAUCGCUGAGGGAUGGGGAUGCGUCUGAUUAGCUUGUUGCGGGUAACGGCCCACCAAGGCAACGAUCAGUAGGGGUUCUGAGAGGAAGGUCCCCCACAUUGGUACUGAGACACGGACCAAACUCCUACGGGAGGCAGCAGUGAGGAAUAUUGGUCAAUGGGCGCAAGCCUGAACCAGCCAAGUAGCGUGCAGGAUGACUGCCCUAUGGGUUGUAAACUGCUUUUAUACGGGGAUAAAGUCAGGGUCGUGACCCUGUUUGCAGGUACCGUAUGAAUAAGGACCGGCUAAUUCCGUGCC
This 429-nucleotide ribosomal RNA is filed under the name uncultured bacterium. RNAcentral describes it as "bacterial SSU rRNA". It matches the Rfam family "Bacterial small subunit ribosomal RNA", at positions 80 to 509 of the family's 1533-position model. The record is from RNAcentral.